UACGGAGGGGGCUAGCGUUGUUCGGAAUCACUGGGCGUAAAGCGCACGUAGGCGGCUUUCUAAGUCAGGGGUGAAAUCCUGGAGCUCAACUCCAGAACUGCCUUUGAUACUGGGAAGCUCGAGUCCGGGAGAGGUGAGUGGAACUCCGAGUGUAGAGGUGAAAUUCGUAGAUAUUCGGAAGAACACCAGUGGCGAAGGCGGCUCACUGGCCCGGUACUGACGCUGAGGUGCGAAAGCGUGGGGAGCAAACAGG
This 253-nucleotide ribosomal RNA is filed under the name uncultured bacterium. Its description in RNAcentral is "partial 16S ribosomal RNA". It matches the Rfam family "Bacterial small subunit ribosomal RNA", at positions 524 to 776 of the family's 1533-position model. The record is from RNAcentral.